This 253-nucleotide ribosomal RNA is filed under the name uncultured bacterium. RNAcentral describes it as "partial 16S ribosomal RNA". It matches the Rfam family "Bacterial small subunit ribosomal RNA", at positions 524 to 776 of the family's 1533-position model. The record is from RNAcentral.
UACAGAGGGUGCAAGCGUUAAUCGGAAUUACUGGGCGUAAAGGGUGCGUAGGUGGUUAAUUAAGUCAGAUGUGAAAUCCCCAGGCUUAACCUGGGAAUUGCAUUUGAAACUGGUAGACUAGAGUGCGGUAGAGGGAAGUGGAAUUUCCGGUGUAGCGGUGAAAUGCGUAGAUAUCGGAAGGAACACCAGUGGCGAAGGCGACUUCCUGGACCGUUACUGACACUGAGGCACGAAAGCGUGGGGAGCAAACAGG